CUUGGAAUGAUGUGGUAAUGAGCAUGAGGUACUACGACCUUUUAUCCACAGCGUCUCCAUUCAGCUUUGAUGUCACCUGAUAAAAUGAUUUUUAUUAUCGAGUGAGCUGCCGUAACGGGAUCUGGUAUGCAUUUUCUGACUCACCCCUCACAAUGGGACGAAGUGAGCAGAUCGAUUGUUUGGGCCCAUCCAACACAAAUUAAAACUUCCUAGGAUAAUCUCUACAAACGCUGCCUCCGCAGCAUGGAUACUAAGCAUAAGGAAUAUUGGCUGUUUUAUAAACAUACCUUCCCGCGAUUGGGUGGUACAGCAUGGUACAACACUCAAAUGGUCUCACAAUUGCUUUUGUUUCAGAAACAUUCUCGGUUGCUAAUCACCAGUUCAAACGAUAUUGUUCAACGAAAUUUUCAGCGAAAUUUGUAUUUAAAAAGAAAUACUACUGGAAUAAUACAAUACAAAUACGUAAAUUGAAAAACUAGCAAUUAAAAAUAUCAAUAGUUGUGUUUACAGAAACCGUUCAAAAAUAAAAAUUU
Armigeres subalbatus is the source of this 533-nucleotide long non-coding RNA. RefSeq lists it as uncharacterized. The record is from RefSeq and is a predicted model, not a curated record. Lineage: Eukaryota; Metazoa; Arthropoda; Insecta; Diptera; Culicidae. The transcript is spliced from 4 exons.